UCUGCUGGAGUUUUGUAAGUGAGCCCAGGAUAGGGGUAAGCCUUCUAUUUAUUCUCCUUUUGUUAGCUUAGUCUGCUUUGUCAAACUCUCUUGUUUAUUUCAUAAUGACAACAUCUUAAUAGUCAUUGAUUAUACACGUGCACUAAGUACUUUUUCUUCUUGUUUUAGACUACUCCAACGUACUUGGCCAAGCUGCUUUUGCAGAUGCCUCAAAACAACCCCACAGAGUUCAUGGAUUCAGCCAUCUUCACGCUGCAUAACUACGCAUCCAGUCAGAGAGAGGAAUCUCUGCUGUUGCGGCUGUUGCAAACAGCAUUGCAGGAAGAGAUCAAAUGCGCUCUUUCAACCGUGGUGCCCGUGGUCAGAACGCACUGAGGCAGAUCUUGGCCCCAGUUGUGAAGGAAAUAAUUGAGGGCGAAUCGCUCAACGUCAGAACGGAUCCAGUGGAUAUUUACAAGUGCUGGGUGAACCAGAUGGGAUCUCAGAAUGGUGAGGCCGGGCACUUCAAGGGAAGUGGUGGAAAAGCAAUGCUAUGAAGUAAAAGACAACUGUCCCAGCGCAGCACGCUGCGUGAGUUACUAUCUUAACACUGCAAUGUGCAGCUUGUGUUUUCACUGAUUUAUUUGCGACCUGAGGUACUACUGCGUAUCGCAGGUGACCUUCUUGACUCUAGAGAGCGUGUCUGCAUGUGGUACAGAAAGAUACAGUUCAGAGUUAGCUGGGCCUGUUCUCACAGCGACUGCUGCAGGGACAGCAGAGGACGUGAGAAGUCCUUUGCUCUUUCAGUGCUAGCAUUCUAAUGAAAGUGAAAGCGUGCAGCUCUUUGCAGCCAGGUGAGC
Long non-coding RNA from Tympanuchus pallidicinctus (lesser prairie-chicken), 839 nucleotides. RefSeq lists it as uncharacterized. NCBI's taxonomy places the organism in Eukaryota, Metazoa, Chordata, Aves, Galliformes, Phasianidae. The record is from RefSeq and is a predicted model, not a curated record. The transcript has 3 exons.